CCUACGGGAGACAGCAGUGAGGAAUAUUGGUCAAUGGGCGCGAGCCUGAACCAGCCAAGUAGCGUGAAGGAUGACGGCCCUACGGGUUGUAAACUUCUUUUAUAAAGGAAUAAAGUGAGGCACGUGUGCCGUUUUGUAUGUACGUUAUGAAUAAGGAUCGGCUAACUCCGUGUCAGCAGCCGCGGUAAUACGGAGGAUCCGAGCGUUAUCCGGAUUGAUUGGGUUUAAAGGGAGCGUAGAUGGGUUGUUAAGUCAGUUGUGCAAGUUUGCGGCUCAACCGUAAAAUUGCCAUUGAUACUGGCAGUCUUGCUUACAGUUGAGGUCGGCGGACUUCGUUGUGUAGCGGUUACCUGCUUAGAUCUCACG
This 366-nucleotide ribosomal RNA is filed under the name uncultured bacterium. Its description in RNAcentral is "partial 16S ribosomal RNA". It matches the Rfam family "Bacterial small subunit ribosomal RNA", at positions 338 to 701 of the family's 1533-position model. The record is from RNAcentral.